This 301-nucleotide ribosomal RNA is filed under the name uncultured bacterium. RNAcentral's name for it is "partial 16S ribosomal RNA". It matches the Rfam family "Bacterial small subunit ribosomal RNA", at positions 509 to 807 of the family's 1533-position model. The record is from RNAcentral.
CAGUAGCCGCGGUAAUACGUAGGGUGCGAGCGUUAAUCGGAAUUACUGGGCGUAAAGCGUGCGCAGGCGGUUGUGUAAGACAGGUGUGAAAUCCCCGGGCUUAACCUGGGAACCGCGCUUGUGACUGCACAGCUAGAGUAUGGCAGAGGGGGGUGGAAUUCCACGUGUAGCAGUGAAAUGCGUAGAGAUGUGGAGGAACACCGAUGGCGAAGGCAGCCCCCUGGGCCAAUACUGACGCUCAUGCACGAAAGCGUGGGGAGCAAACAGGAUUAGAUACCCGCGUAGUCCCUGUCUCUUAUAC